RNAcentral lists this ribosomal RNA (393 nucleotides) under uncultured bacterium. Its description in RNAcentral is "partial 16S ribosomal RNA". It matches the Rfam family "Bacterial small subunit ribosomal RNA", at positions 523 to 918 of the family's 1533-position model. The record is from RNAcentral.
AUACGGAGGAUCCGAGCGUUAUCCGGAUUUAUUGGGUUUAAAGGGUGCGUAGGCGGCCUUUUAAGUCAGCGGUGAAAGUCUGUGGCUCAACCAUAGAAUUGCCGUUGAAACUGGGAGGCUUGAGUAUGUUUGAGGCAGGCGGAAUGCGGGGUGUAGCGGUGGAAUGCUUAGAUAUACCGCAGAACCCCGAUUGCGAAGGCAGCCUGCCAAGCCAUGACUGACGCCGAUGCACGAAAGCGUGGGGAUCAAACAGGAUUAGAUACCCUGGUAGUCCACGCAGUAAACGAUGAUCACUAGCUGUUUGCGAUACAGUGUAAGCGGCACAGCGAAAGCGUUAAGUGAUCCACCUGGGGAGUACGCCGGCAACGGUGAAACUCAAAUGAAUGGGCGGGG